UUUUUAUGAGAGUUUGAUCCUGGCUCAGGAUGAACGCUGGCGGCGUGCUUAACACAUGCAAGUCGAACGAAGCAUUUAGAACAGAUUAUUUCGGUAUGAAGUUCUUUAUGACUGAGUGGCGGACGGGUGAGUAACGCGUGGGUAACCUGCCUUGUACUGGGGGAUAGCAGCUGGAA
This 176-nucleotide ribosomal RNA is filed under the name Lachnospira eligens. RNAcentral describes it as "[Eubacterium] eligens partial 16S ribosomal RNA". It matches the Rfam family "Bacterial small subunit ribosomal RNA", at positions 1 to 155 of the family's 1533-position model. The record is from RNAcentral. Lineage: Bacteria; Bacillati; Bacillota; Clostridia; Lachnospirales; Lachnospiraceae.